RNAcentral lists this ribosomal RNA (301 nucleotides) under uncultured bacterium. Its description in RNAcentral is "partial 16S ribosomal RNA". It matches the Rfam family "Bacterial small subunit ribosomal RNA", at positions 509 to 809 of the family's 1533-position model. The record is from RNAcentral.
CAGUAGCCGCGGGAACACGUAGGUGGCAAGCGUUGUCCGGAAUUAUUGGGCGUAAAGGGCUCGCAGGCGGUUUCUUAAGUCUGAUGUGAAAGCCCCCGGCUCAACCGGGGAGGGUCAUUGGAAACUGGGAAACUUGAGUGCAGAAGAGGAGAGUGGAAUUCCACGUGUAGCGGUGAAAUGCGUAGAGAUGUGGAGGAACACCAGUGGCGAAGGCGACUCUCUGGUCUGUAACUGACGCUGAGGAGCGAAAGCGUGGGGAGCGAACAGGAUUAGAUACCCCCGUAGUCCCUGUCUCUUAUAA